AACCGGCCUGACAGGUGACCGGCCACACUGGGACUGAGAUACGGCCCAGACUCUUACGGGAGGCAGCAGUGGGGAAUAUUGCACAAUGGGCGCACGCCUGAUGCAGCGACGCCGCGUGAGGGAUGACGGCCUUCGGGUUGUAAACCUCUUUCAGCAGGGACGAAGCGCAAGUGACGGUACCUGCAGAAGAAGGACCGGCUAACUACGUGCCAGCAGCCGCGGUAAUACGUAGGGUGCGAGCGUUGUCCGGAAUUACUGGGCGUAAAGAGCUCGUAGGCGGUUUGUCGCGUCGUUUGUGAAAACCCGGGGCUCAACUGCGGGCUUGCGGGCGAUACGGGCAGACUUGAGUGCUGCAGGGGAGACUGGAAUUCCUUA
RNAcentral lists this ribosomal RNA (375 nucleotides) under uncultured bacterium. RNAcentral describes it as "bacterial SSU rRNA". It matches the Rfam family "Bacterial small subunit ribosomal RNA", at positions 284 to 673 of the family's 1533-position model. The record is from RNAcentral.